UGGGGAAUAUUGCACAAUGGAGGGAACUCUGAUGCAGCGACGCCGCGUGAACGAAGAAGGCUUUCGAGUCGUAAAGUUCUUUUAUAUGGGAAGAUAAUGACGGUACCAUAAGAAAAAGCCCCGGCUAACUACGUGCCAGCAGCCGCGGUAAUACGUAGGGGGCUAGCGUUGUCCGGAAUCACUGGGCGUAAAGGGUUCGCAGGCGGAAAUGCAAGUCAGGUGUAAAAGGCAGUAGCUUAACUACUGUAAGCAUUUGAAACUGCAUAUCUUGAGAAGAGUAGAGGUAAGUGGAAUUUUUAGUGUAGCGGUGAAAUGCGUAGAUAUCAUGAAGAACUCCGAUUGCGAAGGCAGCUUACGGGAGCGCAACUGACGCUGAAGCUCGAAGGUGCGGGUAUCGAACAGG
RNAcentral lists this ribosomal RNA (403 nucleotides) under Verrucomicrobiota bacterium. RNAcentral's name for it is "Verrucomicrobia bacterium partial 16S ribosomal RNA". It matches the Rfam family "Bacterial small subunit ribosomal RNA", at positions 355 to 776 of the family's 1533-position model. Lineage: Bacteria; Pseudomonadati; Verrucomicrobiota. The record is from RNAcentral.